UGAAGCCGGUUCAAUGGUUGUCAAAAAUUGUUAUUGAGACUGGAAUCUUACACAUCAUGGAUAACUUACCAGAAGGGUCAAAGAAGGUUGUUAUGCCACUGAGGUUUUCUAUAAAAUUACAGCAAGGGAUCCACAAUGUGGAUGAGAUGAACAAGAAGUUUGAUUACAAGAACCGUCUCGACAAGAAAGACUUGGUCAUGCUGCCAGUGCUCGAGUGCGCAGAUGUAACCGAUAAGGAC
This is a long non-coding RNA of Triticum dicoccoides, 239 nucleotides long. RefSeq lists it as uncharacterized. Lineage: Eukaryota; Viridiplantae; Streptophyta; Magnoliopsida; Poales; Poaceae. The transcript has 3 exons. The record is from RefSeq and is a predicted model, not a curated record.